RNAcentral lists this ribosomal RNA (876 nucleotides) under Bacillus pumilus. Its description in RNAcentral is "bacterial SSU rRNA". It matches the Rfam family "Bacterial small subunit ribosomal RNA", at positions 329 to 1198 of the family's 1533-position model. The record is from RNAcentral. Lineage: Bacteria; Bacillati; Bacillota; Bacilli; Caryophanales; Bacillaceae.
GCCCAGACUCCUACGGGAGGCAGCAGUAGGGAAUCUUCCGCAAUGGACGAAAGUCUGACGGAGCAACGCCGCGUGAGUGAUGAAGGUUUUCGGAUCGUAAAGCUCUGUUGUUAGGGAAGAACAAGUGCGAGAGUAACUGCUCGCACCUUGACGGUACCUAACCAGAAAGCCACGGCUAACUACGUGCCAGCAGCCGCGGUAAUACGUAGGUGGCAAGCGUUGUCCGGAAUUAUUGGGCGUAAAGGGCUCGCAGGCGGUUUCUUAAGUCUGAUGUGAAAGCCCCCGGCUCAACCGGGGAGGGUCAUUGGAAACUGGGAAACUUGAGUGCAGAAGAGGAGAGUGGAAUUCCACGUGUAGCGGUGAAAUGCGUAGAGAUGUGGAGGAACACCAGUGGCGAAGGCGACUCUCUGGUCUGUAACUGACGCUGAGGAGCGAAAGCGUGGGGAGCGAACAGGAUUAGAUACCCUGGUAGUCCACGCCGUAAACGAUGAGUGCUAAGUGUUAGGGGGUUUCCGCCCCUUAGUGCUGCAGCUAACGCAUUAAGCACUCCGCCUGGGGAGUACGGUCGCAAGACUGAAACUCAAAGGAAUUGACGGGGGCCCGCACAAGCGGUGGAGCAUGUGGUUUAAUUCGAAGCAACGCGAAGAACCUUACCAGGUCUUGACAUCCUCUGACAACCCUAGAGAUAGGGCUUUCCCUUCGGGGACAGAGUGACAGGUGGUGCAUGGUUGUCGUCAGCUCGUGUCGUGAGAUGUUGGGUUAAGUCCCGCAACGAGCGCAACCCUUGAUCUUAGUUGCCAGCAUUCAGUUGGGCACUCUAAGGUGACUGCCGGUGACAAACCGGAGGAAGGUGGGGAUGACGUCAAAUCAUCAUGC